CCCAGCCGAAGUGUCCACUUACCAUGUUUUCUGACCUGCCGCCCUGGAGAAUUUGCCGUUUCCUCUUUGGACUCCUGUGGACACUUUACCCCCCACCCCACCCCACCCUGGAGGAGCCGAUCACUUUCUGUGAGGAAGCCUUCGUGUCCCACUACCGCUCCGGAGCCAUGAGGCAGUUCCUGCAGAACGCCACACAGCUGCAGCUCUUCAAGCAGUUUAUUGAUGGUCGAUUAGAUCUUCUCAAUUCCGGCGAAGGUUUCAGUGAUGUUUUUGAAGAGGAAAUCAACAUGGGCGAGUACGCUGGCAGUGACAAACUGUACCAUCAGUGGCUCUCCACUGUCCGGAAAGGAAGUGGAGCAAUUCUGAAUACUGUAAAGACCAAAGCAAAUCCGGCCAUGAAGACUGUCUACAAGUUCGCAAAAGAUCAUGCAAAAAUGGGAAUAAAAGAGGUGAAAAACCGCUUGAAGCAAAAGGACAUUGCCGAGAAUGGCUGCGCCCCCACCCCAGAAGAGCAGCUGCCAAAGACUGCACCGUCCCCACUGGUGGAGGCCAAGGACCCCAAGCUCCGAGAAGACCGGCGGCCAAUCACAGUCCACUUUGGACAGACUCCUUGGUAUCUUUUUUGUUGUCUCCACCACAUCCCUUUGAGGAAGGGACCAUUAGCCCCAUUUUAUUGACCCAGAGCUGGAGCUCAGAGACAUGAGAGAACCUGCCCAGGGCCACUUCACCAGCUUGGAAACCCAAGCCCAGCACCUCCUCUCGAGCCCACACCAGCUCUCAAAACAAGCAG
This 790-nucleotide small RNA is filed under the name Pan troglodytes (chimpanzee). RNAcentral's name for it is "processed transcript". The record is from RNAcentral. Lineage: Eukaryota; Metazoa; Chordata; Mammalia; Primates; Hominidae.